UUAAGUGCUUGAUAUCUGAAGAAGCAAAGAGUACUAAAGUUUUGGCAUAUAUUACUGCCCUUAAGAAAUUAUGCAACCAUCCGAAGAACUUAUUAUGCCCACGACCACUGCCAUGGACUUUGUGGCCCGCCUGCUUAUCCUUGAUGUGGCUACAAUGCGCGAACCAGUGUUCGACUUUGAACGCCGACAUGGACGGCGGCCUCAAGUGCUACACCAUCUUCUUGGAUAUGUGGAGAGGCUUUUUGCACUGCAGUUCAAGACAUACUGUAGAUUACAUGGCUAAAGAAAAUUAUUUACGAUUAAUAAAUCAUGUUCUUGCUAAAUUAUUAAGUGUUCAAGCAUGCCUACUAUGAUCCCGUGCUUCCUCUUUGUGUAUGGCUUGCUGUGAAAACACUAAACAUAACAUGUGCUUGAUUAAUUCAGUAUACUACUUCUCUUAAGAAGGUUAGGGUCAACGAGGAAGCACAUAACUGUGUUUGAUGCAUUCUUCAGGUUGAGGGUCUGAUAAUGGACUUAACACAACUGCUGGAGAGAGAUUAAAAUAUUGAAUAUGGUAGCAGAGGAGGAAGCUGAAGUUGGUAGAUUAAUAGAGCGAGAGUUCCAGACCCAGGUUACUCCAAGAACAAGUGCAUUAUAUUUCUGUGUAUCCAGUAGCUUAUGCAGCCCAUAAUUACUUUCCCAACAGAUUCAUGAUUGGGAGAAGUAGCUAAAGAUCUCUGGAGCACCUUGAGGUAGCAAUCCAGCCUACAAUGUCACAUUUUCAAGCGAUGCAGAGAAACAAGACAAAUAACUACGAAGUAGUAGAUCAUAGAAAGGACUGGUGUCAAUUGAUCAGUCAUAGUCAAAGAAUGAUAUGGAAAUUAAACUAAGCAUGACAUGUCGGAAUAAUAGCAGAACCAGAGCAAGAGAAAAAAGUUGAUUAGCAGGUCGACAGUGAUGCCUGCUAAGAGAGAAUCCACACGUCCAUCCUUUUGCCACUGCUGAAGCCCCACAUCCUCGAUCUCGACACGCUUGCCUGCCAUCCUGGCCGACGUCCUCGCUAUGGCCCCCAAGCCACGCAACCACCUCGCCAGCUGUUGCUAGAGCCGAGCGCGUUGGCAGACUCCGCACCCAAGGUUUUUAGUUGAUGAAGGACGAAGUCUGCACCAAGAAGACCAUUCUGAUGGAUUCAAGAGAAUCAAAAGUGAAGAAUCAAGUUACAAUAAAUAUGUCGAUUACAAAUAUGCCUACAGAUACACAAGUGGUUUUCAGAUAUCUUUGCUUGAUUUGGAGCUGCUCAAAGAAAAAGGAUGGCCACAUAUAUAUGGUAGUUACUUCCAUGUCACAAAGGUGCUCUUCAGUAGAUGAACUGCACACCUGAACGCAUCACUAAUGGAAAGAUUCAUCAUCUUGGUCGGCUGCUUGCGGCGGGGCUUGUGGCUGGUGGUUGCGGCAGUGGCAGAGCAGUGUCCGAGAGCGCGGCGCAAGCAGUGGCCCCUGCUAUGUGGGCUGAUGGGAGCACACCAUCCAAGCAGCACUUCCAAGUAUGACAAUGUCCGCUCUACACCAAGGUACGUGGGCACUCGUGCAAAGAUCUAACAUCUUCACCGACUAGGACUAAGUUUAGCUCUCCAUAUGGUGCCCAUUUUUUUACGGGUAAGGCAAGAGCUCUGCCAAUUCAUUAAAGUUGACGGGAAACUGUAAAGAAGGCAUAAAAAGAAGAAGGAAAAGCGCCACAAAAUAAAUGGAGGUCUAAAUACUGGAUGAGAUUUUCAUUGCUGGCAUUCUUCAUGAACCUGUCAAGGAGAACAUUUCAAUACUAAUUGUUGCAAAGGUGUUCUCACCACCGGCUAGCAAGAAGAGAGUAUGAUUUUUCAGUGCUCACUGUUGUAAGCUUGAUUCACAAGGAGCUUCUCAAUGUUGUACAUGUAGUUUGUGAGUAACAGAAAUAAAACCUAUUUCUUCAUUCUUGUCUUGUACCUCCGUUUCAACUCCCCCAAACCAGUAGAGUUCAGUUACGUGUUUCAAUAUUAGGAAGUCAUCAUCUUCUAAAACAAAUUUUGUUACCUACUCAAACAUAUUUUAUUCCUGUGUUUCUAAUAAAUUUUGUAUAAAAACAUAUGUACAAUAGAACCUGUACAACCUGCAUUGGAGCAUGCUCAUUUGCUCUGUCCAUUUCUUCUAAAGAGUCCAGAUUCCUACGCAUUCAUAAAUACAAUUUAGUGUGCUCUAAUACAUUACCGGAAUCAGAUGAUAUAUUUUCUGUGCGAAUUCGUUGACACAGUUCCUUACAAAAGUUGUAUCUUCGAAAAGGACAAACAACUCUAUGUAAUCCUAUCAUCCAUUCUGAUUUUGAGCCAAGUAUACCCAUUAUCUUUUUCCUUCUAGCAAGGUACCAUAGACAUGUUAUGAAAUUCUCCUUUGCCUUCCAGGUGAACCAAAUAGGCAUCUUUUUAACAAAUGGAGGGAAUUCGUUUGUCAAUAAAAAUAAUU
This is a non-coding RNA of Aegilops tauschii subsp. strangulata, 2472 nucleotides long. NCBI's taxonomy places the organism in Eukaryota, Viridiplantae, Streptophyta, Magnoliopsida, Poales, Poaceae. The record is from RefSeq and is a predicted model, not a curated record.